This is a non-coding RNA of Leptonychotes weddellii (Weddell seal), 267 nucleotides long. The record is from RefSeq and is a predicted model, not a curated record. Lineage: Eukaryota; Metazoa; Chordata; Mammalia; Carnivora; Phocidae.
AGGUGCUUGUGGAAUGGAUAGACGUCAGAACACAUACAUUAUGGACAAAGGCUUCAAAGAUUACAUGAAAGAAUCCGUGUGCAGUUCUAGCACUUGUUCCUUGAAUAGCAGUGAAAACCCUUACGCCACAAUUAAGGACCCACCCAUUCUCACCUGCAAGCUUCCAGAAAGCAGCUAUGUAGAAAUGAAGUCACCUAUGCACAGGGGGUCUCCGUAUACAGAUAUGCCAUCCUUGUCGACAUCUAAUAAAAAUAUAUAUGAAGUUGG